UUUCCGUAGGUGAACCUGCGGAAGGAUCAUUCAUAAUAAAGUGUUUUAUGGCACUUUUUAAAAAUCCAUAUCCACCUGUGUGCAAUGUUAGAUCUCGUCAAUCUUGGCGAGAUUUUUAUACAUCAACUCAUUCUUUAACUAAUUUGUCUGAAAAAUAUUAUGAAUACUUAAUUCAAAAUACAACUUUCAACAACGGAUCUCUUGGCUCUC
This 210-nucleotide unclassified non-coding RNA is filed under the name plant metagenome. RNAcentral describes it as "partial contains small subunit ribosomal RNA, internal transcribed spacer 1, and 5.8S ribosomal RNA". The record is from RNAcentral.